RNAcentral lists this ribosomal RNA (253 nucleotides) under uncultured bacterium. RNAcentral's name for it is "partial 16S ribosomal RNA". It matches the Rfam family "Bacterial small subunit ribosomal RNA", at positions 524 to 776 of the family's 1533-position model. The record is from RNAcentral.
UACGUAGGGUGCGAGCGUUGUCCGGAAUUACUGGGCGUAAAGAGCUCGUAGGUGGUUUGUCGCGUCCGGGGUGAAAGCCUCCCGCUCAACGGGAGAACGGCCUCGGAUACGGGCGGCCUCGAGGGGGGUAGGGGCGUGCGGAACUGUGGGUGGAGCGGUGAAAUGCGUUGAUAUCCACAGGAACUCCGGUGGCGAAGGCGGCACGCUGGACCCCUUCUGACGCUGAGGCGCGAAAGCCAGGGGAGCGAACGGG